This 66-nucleotide transfer RNA is filed under the name Menglacris maculata. RNAcentral describes it as "tRNA-Leu". The record is from RNAcentral. Lineage: Eukaryota; Metazoa; Arthropoda; Insecta; Orthoptera; Acrididae.
UUUAAUAUGGCAGAUUAGUGCAGUAAAUUUAAGCUUUACAAAUAAAGAUUUAACCUUUUAUUAAAA